RNAcentral lists this ribosomal RNA (421 nucleotides) under uncultured bacterium. Its description in RNAcentral is "partial 16S ribosomal RNA". It matches the Rfam family "Bacterial small subunit ribosomal RNA", at positions 361 to 774 of the family's 1533-position model. The record is from RNAcentral.
AUAUUGGACAAUGCGCGAAAGCCUGAUCCAGCCAUGCCACGUGUCUGAAGAAGGUCUUCGGAUUGUAUAGCACCUUAAGUUGGGAGGAAAGGUUGUAUGUUAAUACACUGCAUUCUUUAUGUUACCAACAGAAUAAGCACCGGCCAACUUCCUUCCCUCAGCCGCGGUAAUACGAAGGGUGCAAGCGUUAAUCUGAAUUACUGGGCGUAAAGAGCGGGUAGGUGGUUCGUUAAGUUGGAAGUGAAAGCCCCGGGCUUAACAUGGGAAUUGCUUUCAAAACUGAGGAGCUAGAGUACGGUAGAGGGUAGUGGAAUUUCCUAUGUAGCGGUGAAAUGCGUAGAUAUAGGAAGGAACAUCAGUGGCGAAGGCGACUGCCUGAAGUGAUACUGACACUGAGGUGCGAAAGCGUGGGGAGCAAACA